This is a long non-coding RNA of Oncorhynchus tshawytscha (Chinook salmon), 357 nucleotides long. The record is from Ensembl. NCBI's taxonomy places the organism in Eukaryota, Metazoa, Chordata, Actinopteri, Salmoniformes, Salmonidae.
GGUGAUAUUAAUGAUCAGGGACUGAUUUAGACCUGGGACACCAGGUGAGGUGAUAUUAAUGAUCAGGGACUGAUUUAGACCUGGGACACCAGGUGGGGUGAUAUUAAUGAUCGGGGACUGAUUUAGACCUGGGACACCAGGUGGGUGAUAUUAAUGAUCAGGGACUGAUUUAGACCUGGGACACCAGGUGGGUGAUAUUAAUGAUCAGGGACUGAUUUAGACCUGGGACACCAGGAGGGUGAUAUUAAUGAUCAAGGACUGAUUUAGACCUGGGACACCAGGUGGGGUGAUAUUAUUGAUAUGGGACUGAUUUAUACCUGGGACACCAGGUGGGUGAUAUUAAUGAUCCGGUAGAAC